CUUCUGUGAAAUAUAAAUUAAGUCAAAGCCUGAUCUCAUCAAAUCUCAAAAGCUAGACAGGGCUGGGCGUGGUUAGUACCUGGUGGGAGACCUCUGGGAAUACCAGGUGCCACAGUGGG
This 119-nucleotide ribosomal RNA is filed under the name Periophthalmus magnuspinnatus. Lineage: Eukaryota; Metazoa; Chordata; Actinopteri; Gobiiformes; Gobiidae. The record is from RNAcentral.